UUUUUAAUUGGGAUCUUGUAUGAAUGAUUGGACAAGGGAAAAACUGUCUUUAUAUUAAAACUUGAAUUUAACUUUUAAGUGAAAAGGCUUAGAUGCACUAAGGGGACGAUAAGACCCUAUAAAACUUUACAUUUGUGUUAAAUUUUAUGGAAUUUGAAGGUAAUAAUUAUUGGAUUUAACUUUCUUGUUAUGUUGGGGAGACAGAGGCUAUAAUUAUAUAUAACUGCUUUUUUAAAAAACAAUAAUAGGUGGAAGAAGUUUGAAGAUCCUUUAUUGAGAUUAUAAGAUUAAGUUACUUUAGGGAUAACAGCGUUAUUUUUUUUGAGAGUUCAUAUUGAAAAAAGAGAUUGCGACCUCGAUGUUGAAUUAAAAUAUCUUUAUAAUGCAGGUGUUAUAAAAGAAGGUCUGUUCGACCUUUAAUUUUUU
RNAcentral lists this ribosomal RNA (426 nucleotides) under Potamonautes anchietae. RNAcentral describes it as "partial 16S ribosomal RNA". The stretch from base 303 to 426 matches the Rfam family "Bacterial large subunit ribosomal RNA", at positions 2473 to 2597 of the family's 2925-position model. The record is from RNAcentral. Lineage: Eukaryota; Metazoa; Arthropoda; Malacostraca; Decapoda; Potamonautidae.